RNAcentral lists this long non-coding RNA (351 nucleotides) under Mus spicilegus (steppe mouse). Its description in RNAcentral is "lncRNA (ENSMSIG00000025647.1)". The record is from RNAcentral. Lineage: Eukaryota; Metazoa; Chordata; Mammalia; Rodentia; Muridae.
CUGAUAGUAGGAUGAGGCUGAAGAGUGUAGGCUGAGUGCAGGAGCUGUAGGUGUCCAGCAUACUGAGUUUCUCAUGGAGAUCCAGAAAGGAACCACACACUGAAGACCUCCAAAAAAGUCAGAUUGCACAUGUCAUGAUGGGAACAGAAGGCCAUGUUCAUCUCCACAUUAUUACUCCUUUGGAAAAAGAUUUUAAAAAAUAGACUGAAGAAUUAAAGGAUUUCUUUGGAGAAAUAGAGUCUGUGUUGCUCUGAACUAGAAUACCUGCUUAAUACCCUUGAGGUAACUGUUNNNNNNNNNNUUAUUAUUAUUAUUAUUAUUAUUAUUAUUAUUAUUAUUAUUAUUAUUAUU